This 504-nucleotide ribosomal RNA is filed under the name uncultured bacterium. RNAcentral's name for it is "partial 16S ribosomal RNA". It matches the Rfam family "Bacterial small subunit ribosomal RNA", at positions 30 to 523 of the family's 1533-position model. The record is from RNAcentral.
AUUGAACGCUGGCGGCAGGCCUAACACAUGCAAGUCGAGCGGUAACACAGGGAGCUUGCUCCUGGGUGACGAGCGGCGGACGGGUGAGUAAUGUCUGGGAAACUGCCUGAUGGAGGGGGAUAACUACUGGAAACGGUAGCUAAUACCGCAUAACGUCGCAAGACCAAAGAGGGGGACCUUCGGGCCUCUUGCCAUCAGAUGUGCCCAGAUGGGAUUAGCUAGGAGGUGGGGUAACGGCUCACCUAGGCGACGAUCCCUAGCUGGUCUGAGAAGAUGACCAGCCACACUGGAACUGAGACACGGUCCAGACUCCUACGGGAGGCAGCAGUGGGGAAUAUUGCACAAUGGGCGCAAGCCUGAUGCAGCCAUGCCGCGUGUACGAAGAAGGCCUUCGGGUUGUAAAGUACUUUCAGCGGGGAGGAAGGCGAUAAGGUUAAUAACCUUGUCGAUUGACGUUACCCGCAGAAGAAGCACCGGCUAACUCCGUGCCAGCCGCCGCCGUAA